GGAUUGUGGCUCAGUGGCAGAGCACUUGCCUAGCAUGUGUGAGGCACUGGGUUCGAUCCUCAGCACCA
Molecule: transfer RNA, 68 nt
Filed under: Marmota monax (woodchuck)
Lineage: Eukaryota; Metazoa; Chordata; Mammalia; Rodentia; Sciuridae
Description: tRNA.Ala
Source: RNAcentral